RNAcentral lists this ribosomal RNA (274 nucleotides) under uncultured bacterium. RNAcentral's name for it is "partial 16S ribosomal RNA". It matches the Rfam family "Bacterial small subunit ribosomal RNA", at positions 523 to 796 of the family's 1533-position model. The record is from RNAcentral.
AUACGGAGGGUGCGAGCGUUAAUCGGAAUUACUGGGCGUAAAGCGCGCGUAGGCGGUCUGGUCAGUCAGAUGUGAAAGCCCUGGGCUUAACCUGGGAACUGCAUUUGAUACUGCCAGACUAGAGUAUGGUAGAGGGAAGUGGAAUUCCGGGUGUAGCGGUGAAAUGCGUAGAUAUCCGGAGGAACACCAGUGGCGAAGGCGGCUUCCUGGACCAAUACUGACGCUGAGGUGCGAAAGCGUGGGGAGCAAACAGGAUUAGAUACCCUAGUAGUCC